GAUCCUGGCUCAGGACGAACGCUGGCGGCGUGCUUAACACAUGCAAGUCGAACGAAGCGGCAGUGAAGGAGGCUUCGGCCAAUGGAUCUGUCGACUUAGUGGCGGACGGGUGAGUAACGCGUGAGCAACCUGCCUUUCAGAGGGGGAUAACGUUUGGAAACGAACGCUAAUACCGCAUGACGUAUUUCCGCUGCAUGACGGAGAUACCAAAGGAGCAAUCCGCUGAGAGAUGGGCUCGCGUCCGAUUAGAUAGUUGGUGGGGUAACGGCCUACCAAGUCGACGAUCGGUAGCCGGACUGAGAGGUUGAACGGCCACAUUGGGACUGAGACACGGCCCAGACUCCUACGGGAGGCAGCAGUGGGGAAUAUUGCACAAUGGGCGAAAGCCUGAUGCAGCAACGCCGCGUGAGGGAAGACGGUUUUCGGAUUGUAAACCUUUGUCCUUGGUGAAGAUCAUGACGGUAGCCGAGGAGGAAGCCACGGCUAACUACGUGCC
RNAcentral lists this ribosomal RNA (496 nucleotides) under uncultured organism. RNAcentral's name for it is "SSU rRNA". It matches the Rfam family "Bacterial small subunit ribosomal RNA", at positions 15 to 509 of the family's 1533-position model. The record is from RNAcentral.